GAUGAACGCUGGCGGCGUGCUUAACACAUGCAAGUCGAACGGAAAGGCCCAAGCUUGCUUGGGUCCUCGAGUGGCGAACGGGUGAGUAACACGUGGGUGAUCUGCCCUGCACUUCGGGAUAAGCCUGGGAAACUGGGUCUAAUACCGGAUAGGACCACAUUUUGGUUGAUGUGGUGGAAAGUUUUUCGGUGUGGGAUGAGCUCGCUGCCUAUCAGCUUGUUGGUGGGGUAAUGGCCUACCAAGGCGUCGACGGGUAGCCGGCCUGAGAGGGUGUACGGCCACAUUGGGACUGAGAUACGGCCCAGACUCCUACGGGAGGCAGCAGUGGGGAAUAUUGCACGAUGGGCGCAAGCCUGAUGCAGCGACGCCGCGUGGGGGAUGACGGCCUUCGGGUUGUAAACUCCUUUCGCUAGGGACGAAGCGCAAGUGACGGUACCUGGAGAAGAAGCACCGGCUAACUACGUG
RNAcentral lists this ribosomal RNA (465 nucleotides) under uncultured bacterium. RNAcentral's name for it is "partial 16S ribosomal RNA". It matches the Rfam family "Bacterial small subunit ribosomal RNA", at positions 28 to 507 of the family's 1533-position model. The record is from RNAcentral.